Molecule: long non-coding RNA, 654 nt
Filed under: Homo sapiens (human)
Lineage: Eukaryota; Metazoa; Chordata; Mammalia; Primates; Hominidae
Description: novel transcript
Source: RNAcentral
ACUCUCUACAGAUUAUGGAAAAUAUUUGUCUGAGCUCUUAUUUCAACUGCUCCAUUCUCAGCUAGUGAGGAGAGUAAGAUGUAGUGAGGCAUGUGUUCAGAACUUUCUCCCAGAGGGCUGAUAGUCCACUACGUUAUCAAGUUCAAAGCCUAAGAAAUAUUGAACAUUUCCACACAUGAAUGUGGGUACUAUGUUUAAUUUGAGAAUGGCCAACUGUCCUCGAAGUCUCAAUCUCUUUGGAGCCUACCAGCUCCGAGAGAAGUUUGAGGAUGCUGCAAAACCCUCCCCUGCAAAUCCAUCUACUCCUCCCACUUCUAUCCUAAUGGGUAUAGUUCUUGGCUGUGCUGAGGAUCUGUAAGGCACCAGAUGUGAAAGUAAGGAAGAAAGAUGGAUGUGGAAGAAAGUCACUGCCCAGAGAAUAAGGAGACCUGGAUUCUAAUCUCAGCUCUGCCAUUAACUAGCUUCUAUACUUUAUCCAAGAAAGAAUAAAUCAUUUCCAAAUAUUUUCAAAGAUGAAACUAUGGCUCAAAAGGGAAUAAGAGAUCAAGGCAAGCAUGGACAUCUUGUACGUGGAAGUGCAGACCAGAACUUGUAUCACAGCCAGUCAUAUCUGGUGCUUUCCAUGCUACUUUUACAUACAUGUAUCCUUAAAUU